ACAGAGAUCUUAGCUAAUGAGGCGUAAUUUACGGACCAGCCUCCAAGGACAAGCCUUGAGUUUCCUGCAGGCUGGGCCCAGGCUGAGCCCUCCCUGGGGUCAUUUUACAUCGCCGGCCCCUCCUCAGUGGGAACGGUGACAUCGUCCCUCCCCUGGCCCUCUGUG
RNAcentral lists this long non-coding RNA (165 nucleotides) under Ictidomys tridecemlineatus (thirteen-lined ground squirrel). Its description in RNAcentral is "lncRNA (ENSSTOG00000029446.1)". The record is from RNAcentral. Lineage: Eukaryota; Metazoa; Chordata; Mammalia; Rodentia; Sciuridae.